This 588-nucleotide ribosomal RNA is filed under the name uncultured bacterium. Its description in RNAcentral is "partial 16S ribosomal RNA". It matches the Rfam family "Bacterial small subunit ribosomal RNA", at positions 355 to 1375 of the family's 1533-position model. The record is from RNAcentral.
UGGGGAAUUUUGGACAAUGGGCGAAAGCCUGAUCCAGCAAUGCCGCGUGUGUGAAGAAGGCCUUCGGGUUGUAAAGCACUUUUGUCCGGAAAGAAAUCCUUGGCUCUAAUACAGUCGGGGGAUGACGGUACCGGAAGAAUAAGCACCGGCUAACUACGUGCCAGCAGCCGCGUAAUACGUAGGGUGCAAGCGUUAAUCGGAAUUACUGGGCGUAAAGCGUGCGCAGGCGGUUUGCUAAGACCGAUGUGAAAUCCCCGGGCUCAACCUGGGAACUGCAUUGGUGACUGGCAGGCUAGAGUAUGGCAGAGGGGGGUAGAAUUCCACGUGUAGCAGUGAAAUGCGUAGAGAUGUGGAGGAAUACCGAUGGCGAAGGCAGCCCCCUGGGCCAAUACUGACGCUCAUGCACGAAAGCGUGGGGAGCAAAACAGGAUUAGAUACCCCUGGUAGUCCGCGCCCCUAAAACGAUGUCAACUAGUUGUUGGGGAUUCAUUUCCUUAGUAACGUAGCUAACGCGUGAAGUUGACCGCCUGGGGAGUACGGUCGCAAGAUUAAAACUCAAAUGAAUUGACGGGGUCAUAGCUGUUUCCU